UAGGGAAUUUUCGUCAAUGGGGGGAACCCUGAACGAGCAAUGCCGCGUGAGUGAGGAAGGUCUUCGGAUCGUAAAGCUCUGUUGUAAGAGAAAAACGACAUUCAUAGGGAAUGAUGAGUGAGUGAUGGUAUCUUACCAGAAAGUCACGGCUAACUACGUGCCAGCAGCCGCGGUAAUACGUAGGUGGCGAGCGUUAUCCGGAUUUAUUGGGUUUAAAGGGAGCGUAGGUGGAUUGUUAAGUCAGUUGUGAAAGUUUGCGGCUCAACCGUAAAAUUGCAGUUGAAACUGGCAGUCUUGAGUACAGUAGAGGUGGGCGGAAUUCGUGGUGUAGCGGUGAAAUGCUUAGAUAUCACGAAGAACUCCGAUUGCGAAGGCAGCUCACUAGACUGCAACUGACACUGAUGCUCGAAAGUGUGGGUAUCAAACAGGAUUAGAUACCCUGGUAGUCCACACAGUAAACGAUGAAUACUCGCUGUUUGCGAUAUACAGUAAGCGGCCAAGCGAAAGCAUUAAGUAUUCCACCUGGGGAGUACGCCGGCAACGGUGAAACUCAAAGGAAUUGACGGGGGCCCGCACAAGCGGAGGAACAUGUGGUUUAAUUCGAUGAUACGCGAGGAACCUUACCCGGGCUUAAAUUGCAUUUGAAUAAUCUGGAAACAGGUUAGCCGCAAGGCAAAUGUGAAGGUGCUGCAUGGUUGUCGUCAGCUCGUGCCGUGAGGUGUCGGCUUAAGUGCCAUAACGAGCGCAACCCUUAUCUUUAGUUACUAACAGGUCAUGCUGAGGACUCUAGAGAGACUGCCGUCGUAAGAUGUGAGGAAGGUGGGGAUGACGUCAAAUCAGCACGGCCCUUACGUCCGGGGCUACACACGUGUUACAAUGGGGGGUACAGAAGGCAGCUACCUGGCGACAGGAUGCUAAUCCCAAAAACCUCUCUCAGUUCGGAUCGAAGUCUGCAACCCGACUUCGUGAAGCUGGAUUCGCUAGUAAUCGCGCAUCAGCCAUGGCGCGGUGAAUACGUUCCC
RNAcentral lists this ribosomal RNA (1022 nucleotides) under uncultured bacterium. RNAcentral describes it as "bacterial SSU rRNA". It matches the Rfam family "Bacterial small subunit ribosomal RNA", at positions 355 to 1375 of the family's 1533-position model. The record is from RNAcentral.